This 255-nucleotide ribosomal RNA is filed under the name uncultured bacterium. RNAcentral's name for it is "partial 16S ribosomal RNA". It matches the Rfam family "Bacterial small subunit ribosomal RNA", at positions 524 to 776 of the family's 1533-position model. The record is from RNAcentral.
CACGUAGGGCGCGAGCGUUGUCCGGAAUUAUUGGGCGUAAAGAGCUCGUAGGCGGCCUGUUGCGUCCGCUGUGAAAGCCCCGGGGCUUAACCCCGGGUCGGCAGUGGAUACGGGCAGGCUAGAGGUAGGUAGGGGAGAAUGGAAUUCCCGGUGUAGCGGUGAAAUGCGCAGAUAUCGGGAGGAACACCGGUGGCGAAGGCGGUUCUCUGGGCCUUACCUGACGCUGAGGAGCGAAAAGCGUGGGGAGCGAACAGG